AGAGUUUGAUCCUGGCUCAGAGCGAACGUUAGCGGCAGGCCUAACACAUGCAAGUCGAGCGCGAAAGUGACCUUCGGGUCGCGAGUAGAGCGGCGGACGGGUGAGUAACACGUGGAUAACCUGCCCUCCGAUGGGGGACAACCACCCGAAAGGGUGGCUAAUACCGCAUACGUCGAGCGACUCUUCGUGGGUUGCUCGGGAAAGCUAGCCUCUGUUUCAUGCUGGCGUCGGAGGAGGGGUCCGCGGGACAUCAGCUUGUUGGUGGGGUAACGGCCUACCAAGGCGAUGACGCGUAGCUGAUCUGAGAGGAUGAUCAGCCACAUUGGGACUGAGAUACGGCCCAGACUCCUACGGGAGGCAGCAGUGGGGAAUCUUGCGCAAUGGCCGAGAGGCUGACGCAGCGACGCCGCGUGCGGGAGGACGCUCUUCGGGGUGUAAACCGCUGUCGGGAGGGACGAAGAUCCUGGGGAGGCAAUGCCCCGGGGGUGACGGUACCUUCAGAGGAAGCACCGGCUAACUCCGUGCCAGCAGCCGCGGUAAUACGGAGGGUGCGAGCGUUGUUCGGAAUUACUGGGCGUAAAGGGCGCGUAGGCGGCCGUUUAAGUCUACCUGUGAAAGGCCGGGGCUCAACCCCGUGCUGGUAGGAGAUACUGGGCGGCUGGAGACAGGCAGAGGCGGGUGGAAUUCCGGGUGUAGCGGUGGAAUGCGUAGAGAUCCGGAAGAACACCGGGGGCGAAGGCGGCCCGCUGGGCCUGGUCUGACGCUGAGGCGCGAAGGCGUGGGGAGCGAACAGGAUUAGAUACCCUGGUAGUCCACGCGGUAAACGAUGGGCACUCGGUGCUGGGGGGAUCGAUCCUCUCGGUGCCUGAGCUAACGCGUUAAGUGCCCCGCCUGGGGAGUACGGCCGCAAGGCUGAAACUCAAAGGAAUUGACGGGGGCCCGCACAAGCGGUGGAGCAUGUGGUUUAAUUCGAAGCAACGCGAAGAACCUUACCUGGGCUUGACAUGCUAGCGAAAGCUCCGUGAAAGCGGAGCCCCCCUUCAGGGCGCUAGCACAGGUGCUGCAUGGCUGUCGUCAGCUCGUGUCGUGAGAUGUUGGGUUAAGUCCCGCAACGAGCGCAACCCUUGCCUGUUGUUGCCAGCAUGGCCGAAAGGCUGAUGGGGACUCGACAGGGACCGCCGGUGAUAAACCGGAGGAAGGUGGGGACGACGUCAAGUCAUCAUGGUCCUUACGUCCAGGGCUACACACGUGCUACAAUGGCUGGGACAAACCGCUGCAAACCCGCGAGGGGGAGCGAAUCGGAGAAACCCGGUCCAAGUUCGGAUUGCAGUCUGUAACUCGACUGCAUGAAGCUGGAAUCGCUAGUAAUCGUGGAUCAGCUACGCCACGGUGAAUACGUUCCCGGGCCUUGUACACACCGCCCGUCACGCCAUGGAAGUCGGGAGCGCCCGAAGUACGUGGGCCAACCCCUUACGGGGAGGCAGCGUCUUAAGGCGAGUUCGGUGACUGGGGCGAAGUCGUAACAAGGUAACC
Molecule: ribosomal RNA, 1533 nt
Filed under: uncultured bacterium
Lineage: Bacteria
Description: bacterial SSU rRNA
Rfam family: Bacterial small subunit ribosomal RNA
Source: RNAcentral